Molecule: ribosomal RNA, 916 nt
Filed under: Bacillus velezensis
Lineage: Bacteria; Bacillati; Bacillota; Bacilli; Caryophanales; Bacillaceae
Description: bacterial SSU rRNA
Rfam family: Bacterial small subunit ribosomal RNA
Source: RNAcentral
CGGGAAAGGCGGCUGCCUAUACAUGCAAGUCGAGCGGACAGAUGGGAGCUUGCUCCCUGAUGUUAGCGGCGGACGGGUGAGUAACACGUGGGUAACCUGCCUGUAAGACUGGGAUAACUCCGGGAAACCGGGGCUAAUACCGGAUGGUUGUUUGAACCGCAUGGUUCAGACAUAAAAGGUGGCUUCGGCUACCACUUACAGAUGGACCCGCGGCGCAUUAGCUAGUUGGUGAGGUAACGGCUCACCAAGGCGACGAUGCGUAGCCGACCUGAGAGGGUGAUCGGCCACACUGGGACUGAGACACGGCCCAGACUCCUACGGGAGGCAGCAGUAGGGAAUCUUCCGCAAUGGACGAAAGUCUGACGGAGCAACGCCGCGUGAGUGAUGAAGGUUUUCGGAUCGUAAAGCUCUGUUGUUAGGGAAGAACAAGUGCCGUUCAAAUAGGGCGGCACCUUGACGGUACCUAACCAGAAAGCCACGGCUAACUACGUGCCAGCAGCCGCGGUAAUACGUAGGUGGCAAGCGUUGUCCGGAAUUAUUGGGCGUAAAGGGCUCGCAGGCGGUUUCUUAAGUCUGAUGUGAAAGCCCCCGGCUCAACCGGGGAGGGUCAUUGGAAACUGGGGAACUUGAGUGCAGAAGAGGAGAGUGGAAUUCCACGUGUAGCGGUGAAAUGCGUAGAGAUGUGGAGGAACACCAGUGGCGAAGGCGACUCUCUGGUCUGUAACUGACGCUGAGGAGCGAAAGCGUGGGGAGCGAACAGGAUUAGAUACCCUGGUAGUCCACGCCGUAAACGAUGAGUGCUAAGUGUUAGGGGGUUUCCGCCCCUUAGUGCUGCAGCUAACGCAUUAAGCACUCCGCCUGGGGAGUACAGUCGCAAGACUGAAACUCAAAGGAAUUGACGGGGCCCGCACAAGCG